Molossus molossus (Pallas's mastiff bat) is the source of this 637-nucleotide long non-coding RNA. RefSeq lists it as uncharacterized. The record is from RefSeq and is a predicted model, not a curated record. The transcript is spliced from 4 exons. Lineage: Eukaryota; Metazoa; Chordata; Mammalia; Chiroptera; Molossidae.
CUUGGGCCAGGGUUUUGGCAGCUGGCUGCAACGCAGUUUUGCGAUGGACAUUGAGUGUUCCAGCUCUGUGUCUUUACAUCAAAACAACCAUGUCUGCCGACGGACCAGAAGUUCAGACUGGGACGGCGUGUCUCUGCCCAUACGUUGCGGCCCCCGUGGGAAGACAGGAGGGCUGGGAAGACCCGUGGCUCACAGGUGCAGUGGUUGAUGUCAGGAAUGCUGAGGACCUCUGUGUGACCUUCCCACAUAGGUGGUGCUUCUGAACAGCGUGGCCGAUGGAACUCCGGGCAGGAUUUUGUCUGACUGAACUCAGACGAGGCCUGAGCAGCUGACUGACGGCAAACCUGCAUACGUGUCCGUCAGGUGAAGAUGUGGGUUCAUGCCAGCAGAAAGUGACAGGGCAGUAUCACGUUGUCAUUGCUGACCUGCUCUGGGGUACUCGGAUUGCAGGUAUUGUGAGGACCAGGACACAUCUUCUGAAACAUACCCUGCUCAAGUGAACAUCUGAGAACCCAUUGGUGUCUGCGCCACUGGGGGUACAGGGGCCCUUGAUCCAUCUCACCAGCGGGGCCUCUCGUCCCCGGGGCGACGCUCCAUCCGCUGAGCCACACUGGAUGGGCAGAAUGAAUACCCUUGA